UUAGUGGCGAACGGGUGAGUAACACGUGAGCAACGUGCCCAAGACUCUGGAAUAACUUCGGGAAACCGGAGCUAAUACUGGAUACGAGACGUAAAGGCAUCUUUAGCGUCUGGAAAGAAUUUCGGUCUUGGAUCGGCUCACGGCCUAUCAGCUUGUUGGUGAGGUAAUGGCUCACCAAGGCGACGACGGGUAGCCGGCCUGAGAGGGUGACCGGCCACACUGGGACUGAGACACGGCCCAG
This 241-nucleotide ribosomal RNA is filed under the name uncultured Actinomycetes bacterium. RNAcentral's name for it is "uncultured actinobacterium partial 16S ribosomal RNA". It matches the Rfam family "Bacterial small subunit ribosomal RNA", at positions 92 to 334 of the family's 1533-position model. The record is from RNAcentral. Lineage: Bacteria; Bacillati; Actinomycetota; Actinomycetes.